RNAcentral lists this ribosomal RNA (2115 nucleotides) under Enterobacter hormaechei subsp. xiangfangensis. RNAcentral's name for it is "partial 23S ribosomal RNA". It matches the Rfam family "Bacterial large subunit ribosomal RNA", at positions 97 to 2236 of the family's 2925-position model. The record is from RNAcentral. Lineage: Bacteria; Pseudomonadati; Pseudomonadota; Gammaproteobacteria; Enterobacterales; Enterobacteriaceae.
CCUUGACCCGGCGAUGUCCGAAUGGGGAAACCCAGUGCAAUUCGUUGCACUAUCGUUAACUGAAUACAUAGGUUAACGAGGCGAACCGGGGGAACUGAAACAUCUAAGUACCCCGAGGAAAAGAAAUCAACCGAGAUUCCCCCAGUAGCGGCGAGCGAACGGGGAGCAGCCCGGAGUCUGAAUCAGCUUGUGUGUUAGUGGAACGGUCUGGAAAGUCCGACGGUACAGGGUGAUAGUCCCGUACACGAAAACACACUUGCUGUGAACUCGAAGAGUAGGGCGGGACACGUGGUAUCCUGUCUGAAUAUGGGGGGACCAUCCUCCAAGGCUAAAUACUCCUGACUGACCGAUAGUGAACCAGUACCGUGAGGGAAAGGCGAAAAGAACCCCGGCGAGGGGAGUGAAAAAGAACCUGAAACCGUGUACGUACAAGCAGUGGGAGCCUCUUUAUGGGGUGACUGCGUACCUUUUGUAUAAUGGGUCAGCGACUUAUAUUCUGUAGCAAGGUUAACCGUAUAGGGGAGCCGAAGGGAAACCGAGUCUUAACUGGGCGUUAAGUUGCAGGGUAUAGACCCGAAACCCGGUGAUCUAGCCAUGGGCAGGUUGAAGGUUGGGUAACACUAACUGGAGGACCGAACCGACUAAUGUUGAAAAAUUAGCGGAUGACCUGUGGCUGGGGGUGAAAGGCCAAUCAAACCGGGAGAUAGCUGGUUCUCCCCGAAAGCUAUUUAGGUAGCGCCUCGUGAACUCAUCUUCGGGGGUAGAGCACUGUUUCGGCUAGGGGGCCAUCCCGGCUUACCAACCCGAUGCAAACUACGAAUACCGAAGAAUGUUAUCACGGGAGACACACGGCGGGUGCUAACGUCCGUCGUGAAGAGGGAAACAACCCAGACCGCCAGCUAAGGUCCCAAAGUCAUGGUUAAGUGGGAAACGAUGUGGGAAGGCACAGACAGCCAGGAUGUUGGCUUAGAAGCAGCCAUCAUUUAAAGAAAGCGUAAUAGCUCACUGGUCGAGUCGGCCUGCGCGGAAGAUGUAACGGGGCUAAACCAUGCACCGAAGCUGCGGCAGCGACACUAUGUGUUGUUGGGUAGGGGAGCGUUCUGUAAGCCGUUGAAGGUGUGCUGUGAGGCAUGCUGGAGGUAUCAGAAGUGCGAAUGCUGACAUAAGUAACGAUAAAGCGGGUGAAAAGCCCGCUCGCCGGAAGACCAAGGGUUCCUGUCCAACGUUAAUCGGGGCAGGGUGAGUCGACCCCUAAGGCGAGGCCGAAAGGCGUAGUCGAUGGGAAACAGGUUAAUAUUCCUGUACUUGGUGUUACUGCGAAGGGGGGACGGAGAAGGCUAUGUCAGCCGGGCGACGGUUGUCCCGGUUUAAGCAUGUAGGCGGAGGUUCCAGGUAAAUCCGGUACCUUAUUAACGCUGAGGUGUGAUGACGAGGCACUACGGUGCUGAAGUGAUAAAUGCCCUGCUUCCAGGAAAAGCCUCUAAGCAUCAGGUAACACGAAAUCGUACCCCAAACCGACACAGGUGGUCAGGUAGAGAAUACCAAGGCGCUUGAGAGAACUCGGGUGAAGGAACUAGGCAAAAUGGUGCCGUAACUUCGGGAGAAGGCACGCUGAUAGGUAGGUGAAGCCCCUGCGGGCGGAGCUGAAAUCAGUCGAAGAUACCAGCUGGCUGCAACUGUUUAUUAAAAACACAGCACUGUGCAAACACGAAAGUGGACGUAUACGGUGUGACGCCUGCCCGGUGCCGGAAGGUUAAUUGAUGGGGUUAGCGGCAACGCGAAGCUCUUGAUCGAAGCCCCGGUAAACGGCGGCCGUAACUAUAACGGUCCUAAGGUAGCGAAAUUCCUUGUCGGGUAAGUUCCGACCUGCACGAAUGGCGUAAUGAUGGCCAGGCUGUCUCCACCCGAGACUCAGUGAAAUUGAACUCGCUGUGAAGAUGCAGUGUACCCGCGGCAAGACGGAAAGACCCCGUGAACCUUUACUAUAGCUUGACACUGAACACUGGUCCUUGAUGUGUAGGAUAGGUGGGAGGCUUUGAAGCGUGGACGCCAGUCUGCGUGGAGCCGCCCUUGAAAUACCACCCUUUAAUGGCUGGUGUUCUAACGUAGACCCGU